This 119-nucleotide ribosomal RNA is filed under the name Pteropus alecto (black flying fox). The record is from RNAcentral. RNAcentral also lists the same sequence under 1 other name. Lineage: Eukaryota; Metazoa; Chordata; Mammalia; Chiroptera; Pteropodidae.
GUCUACAGCCAUGCUAUCCUGAACAAACCCGAGCCCGUCUGAUCUUGGCAGCUAAGCAGGGUCGGGCCUGGUUAGUACUUGGAUGGGAGACCACCUAGGAAGUCCAGGUGCUGUAGAUG